UGGACCAAUGAUGACAGCUGGUGGCGUAUGAGUCACGGAUAAUGAAUGUUACGUGUCUGAAACUGUGAGGUCCAA
Lontra canadensis (Northern American river otter) is the source of this 75-nucleotide small nucleolar RNA. RefSeq annotates it as small nucleolar RNA SNORD113/SNORD114 family. Lineage: Eukaryota; Metazoa; Chordata; Mammalia; Carnivora; Mustelidae. The transcript has a single exon. The record is from RefSeq and is a predicted model, not a curated record.